AGUGAACGCUGGCGGUAGGCCUAACACAUGCAAGUCGAACGGCAGCACAGUAAGAGCUUGCUCUUACGGGUGGCGAGUGGCGGACGGGUGAGGAAUACAUCGGAAUCUACUUUGUCGUGGGGGAUAACGUAGGGAAACUUACGCUAAUACCGCAUACGACCUACGGGGGAAAGCAGAGGAUCUUCGGACCUUGCGCGAUUGAAUGAGCCGAUGUCGGAUUAGCUAGUUGGCGGGGUAAAGGCCCACCAAGGCGACGAUCCGUAGCUGGUCUGAGAGGAUGAUCAGCCACACUGGAACUGAGACACGGUCCAGACUCCUACGGGAGGCAGCAGUGGGGAAUAUUGGACAAUGGGCGCAAGCCUGAUCCAGCCAUGCCGCGUGGGUGAAGAAGGCCUUCGGGUUGUAAAGCCCUUUUGUUGGGAAAGAAAAGCAGCAGGUUAAUACCCCGCUGUUCUGACGGUACCCAAAGAAUAAGCACCGGCUAACUUCGUG
Molecule: ribosomal RNA, 492 nt
Filed under: uncultured bacterium
Lineage: Bacteria
Description: partial 16S ribosomal RNA
Rfam family: Bacterial small subunit ribosomal RNA
Source: RNAcentral